GAGUUUGAUCAUGGCUCAGGAUGAACGCUGGCGGCGUGCCUAACACAUGCAAGUCGAACGGAGUUCUUAAGGAAUGCGGCUUCGGCCAAAUGACUUUUGAACUUAGUGGCGGACGGGUGAGUAACGCGUGAGCAACCUGCCUUUCAGAGGGGGAUAACAUUUGGAAACAGAUGCUAAUACCGCAUAAGAUUACAGUACCGCAUGAUACAGUGAUCAAAGGAGCAAUCCGCUGAAAGAUGGGCUCGCGUCCGAUUAGAUAGUUGGUGAGGUAACGGCUCACCAAGUCGACGAUCGGUAGCCGGACUGAGAGGUUGAACGGCCACAUUGGGACUGAGACACGGCCCAGACUCCUACGGGAGGCAGCAGUGGGAACAUUGCACAAUGGGCGAAAGCCUGAUGCAGCAACGCCGCGUGAGGGAGACGGUUUCGGAUUGUAACCUCUGUUUCGUGACGACAAAUGACGGUAACCGAGUAGGAAGCCACGGCUAACUACGUGCCAGCAG
RNAcentral lists this ribosomal RNA (503 nucleotides) under uncultured microorganism. RNAcentral's name for it is "bacterial SSU rRNA". It matches the Rfam family "Bacterial small subunit ribosomal RNA", at positions 9 to 514 of the family's 1533-position model. The record is from RNAcentral.